AAUCAACGCUGGCGGCGUGCCUCAGACAUGCAAGUCGAACGAUUAAAGCUCUCUUCGGAGAGUGUAUAGAGUGGCGCACGGGUGAGUAACACGUAAGUAAUCUACCUCGAGUGGGGAAUAACAACCGGAAACGGUUGCUAAUACCGCAUAAUGCAGCGGCACCGCAAGGUGACAGUUGUUAAAGAUUUAUCGCUUGAGGAGGAGCUUGCGGCAGAUUAGCUAGUUGGUAGGGUAACGGCUUACCAAGGCUACGAUCUGUAACCGGUCUAAGAGGACGGUCGGUCACACUGACACUGAAUAACGGGUCAGACUCCUACGGGAGGCAGCAGUCGGGAAUUUGGGCAAUGGGCGAAAGCCUGACCCAGCAACGCCGCGUGAAGGAUGAAGUAUUUCGGUAUGUAAACUUCGAAAGAAUAGGAAGAAUUAAUGAC
RNAcentral lists this ribosomal RNA (431 nucleotides) under uncultured bacterium. RNAcentral describes it as "bacterial SSU rRNA". It matches the Rfam family "Bacterial small subunit ribosomal RNA", at positions 32 to 457 of the family's 1533-position model. The record is from RNAcentral.